This 253-nucleotide ribosomal RNA is filed under the name uncultured bacterium. RNAcentral describes it as "partial 16S ribosomal RNA". It matches the Rfam family "Bacterial small subunit ribosomal RNA", at positions 524 to 776 of the family's 1533-position model. The record is from RNAcentral.
UACGAAGGGGGCAAGCGUUACUCGGAAUUACUGGGCGUAAAGAGCGCGCAGGCGGUCGAUCAAGUCGAGUGUGAAAGCCCCCGGCUCAACUGGGGAGGGUCAUUCGAUACUGAUCGACUCGAAGGCAGGAGAGGGUAGUGGAAUUCCCGGUGUAGUGGUGAAAUGCGUAGAUAUCGGGAGGAACACCAGUGGCGAAGGCGACUACCUGGCCUGUUCUUGACGCUGAGGCGCGAAAGCUAGGGGAGCAAACGGG